GGAAAUGAAAAAUACACCGGCCAAGGGUACUCCAGCAGCCUGCGGCGUUAUCAUCAGCGAUCCUACGGAAGCUCAAAAGCUGGACCUAGUCAGCCCACGCCACCAAUGCCAUUCAUUAAUGCAGCCGUCAAUGAAAGUUGCGAAGAUAACACCUACAACAAGUUAGAUAGUCGACCGCAAAUAGUCCAGAGGAAGAAGAGUUACUCUUGCCAAUUUUACCUCAGUGAGCCAGGUACAAAUCGUGAUAAUGCUCUCGGUCGCCAUUCGCGUAAAAUGAACGCUCUUGAUGAUAUUGACAGUAAUUAUGAUGUUGGCACUCCUAUAGAUCCAGGACGAACUUCAUUCCUUCGUGGAUUUGUGGAUAUAUAUGGGGGAAUCAGGAGAAGGAGGAGGAGGAAGAAAAAGG
RNAcentral lists this small RNA (406 nucleotides) under Histoplasma capsulatum var. duboisii H88. Its description in RNAcentral is "Histoplasma capsulatum H88 hypothetical RNA". Lineage: Eukaryota; Fungi; Ascomycota; Eurotiomycetes; Onygenales; Ajellomycetaceae. The record is from RNAcentral.